Molecule: ribosomal RNA, 472 nt
Filed under: uncultured bacterium
Lineage: Bacteria
Description: bacterial SSU rRNA
Rfam family: Bacterial small subunit ribosomal RNA
Source: RNAcentral
AAUGAACGUUGGCGGCGUGGAUUAGGCAUGCAAGUCGAACGCCCCGCAAGGGGAGUGGCGCAAGGGUGAGUAAGGCGACGGUAACCAACCCCGUGAUUGGGAAUAGCCGAGGGAAACUUCGGGUAAUACCCAGCGAUGUUGAGUGGUGGCAUCACCGUUCAACCAAAGAUUCAUCGUCGCGGGACGGGCCGUUGUGGUAUUAGCUUGUUGGUGAGGUAACGGCUCACCAAGGCGGCGAUGCCUACCGGGUGUGCGAGCAUGACCCGGCACACUGGGACUGAGACACUGCCCAGACUCCUACGGGAGGCUGCAGUCGAGAAUCUUCGGCAAUGGGCUCACGCCUGACCGAGCGACGCCGCGUGGAGGAUGAAGGCCUUCGGGUUGUAAACUCCUGUCGAGGGGGAGGAAGCUUCGGUUGACCGAUCCCUGGAGGAAGGACGGGCUAAGUUCGUGCCAGCCGCCGCAGUAAAAC